RNAcentral lists this ribosomal RNA (318 nucleotides) under Triticum aestivum (bread wheat). RNAcentral describes it as "partial small subunit ribosomal RNA". The record is from RNAcentral. Lineage: Eukaryota; Viridiplantae; Streptophyta; Magnoliopsida; Poales; Poaceae.
AUGCAAAGAAAAAACCUCGUGUUCUUUUUGAAAAAAAAUAAGAAGCCAAAGUCAAGCACAGCACUUGUUAUCCAAGAUAAAAUCACAAAGAUAGCUGAAUUCGCCGCUUCUUUUACUUCAAUGAAGCAAGGAGAGGUGACAAUCAAGGAAGUCAUGGAUAUGGUCUUGGUAUGUGGGGCCGUACACGGUUCCGAUGAGCAUGAUAUUGCCACACAGUUAUUUGUGAAGAAGGACCAACGGGAAAUGUUCAAGACCCUUCCUAAAGAGUUUAGGUUCAAUUGGCUUAAGAGGAGAUACAACGACAAGUAUGGAAAUUGA